Long non-coding RNA from Neofelis nebulosa (Clouded leopard), 682 nucleotides. RefSeq lists it as uncharacterized. Lineage: Eukaryota; Metazoa; Chordata; Mammalia; Carnivora; Felidae. The record is from RefSeq and is a predicted model, not a curated record. The transcript is spliced from 3 exons.
UAAAAAGAUGACUGUCCCUCAACCAGAAAGGGACCCUCACCAGACACCAAAUCUGCCAGUGCUUUGAUCUUGGACUUCCCAGCCUCCAGAACUGUGAUAGAUAAGUAAAUGUCUGUUCUUUACAGACAAUAAUAUGGUCUAUAGUAGCCUGUAAGGACUAAGAAAAUGACCUUUUAUAUCUUUCUGAUAUUUGGAUUUACAAGUCUAUCUUGCUGAGAUCAUGAGUUUUAAAUGCUGGCAAAAUGAGUAAUUUUAUACUUUUAUUUUACAAAACCCUAAGCGCCUUUCCCGACACCACUGCUGGUGCAAGUGUGGUCCCCCCCGGGGCAGCAGUCUCCCACCUUCUGAGAACUUGCAAGAUACGUGGAUUCUCAGUCCCCACCCAGACCUGCUGACCAGGCUCUGGAAGCAGGAUCCCUCAAUCUGGGUUUUGGCAAACGCUCCAGGCUCCAGGCAACUCCGACACACUCUCCAGUUGGGAGAACCACUGCUCUACGCUGCAAAGAUUGAAGCUUUGACACCAGUGGCUGUUCUCAUUCUGCACAAUGUGGAAACAUCUCUAGCAAACAAACAAACAACCGCACUUACAGAUGUGUGGUGCAAUCCUGCUGCCCACAGAACAUUCGGGGCCUUAGUGGAACUGCGCUUCCCGCCUGCUCAGUAAGUGACGUCACCUCGCGUC